Molecule: ribosomal RNA, 831 nt
Filed under: uncultured bacterium
Lineage: Bacteria
Description: bacterial SSU rRNA
Rfam family: Bacterial small subunit ribosomal RNA
Source: RNAcentral
UCUGGAAACUGUCUGACUNGAGUGCAGAAGGGGAGAGUGGAAUUCCAUGUGUAGCGGUGAAAUGCGUAGAUAUAUGGAGGAACACCAGUGGCGAAAGCGGCUCUCUGGUCUGUCACUGACGCUGAGGCUCGAAAGCGUGGGUAGCGAACAGGAUUAGAUACCCUGGUAGUCCACGCCGUAAACGAUGAGUGCUAGGUGUUGGGCCCUUUCCGGGGCUUAGUGCCGGAGCUAACGCAAUAAGCACUCCGCCUGGGGAGUACGACCGCAAGGUUGAAACUCAAAGGAAUUGACGGGGGCCCGCACAAGCGGUGGAGCAUGUGGUUUAAUUCGAAGCAACGCGAAGAACCUUACCAGGUCUUGACAUCCCGAUGCUAUUCUUAGAGAUAGGAAGUUACUUCGGUACAUCGGAGACAGGUGGUGCAUGGUUGUCGUCAGCUCGUGUCGUGAGAUGUUGGGUUAAGUCCCGCAACGAGCGCAACCCUUAUUGUUAGUUGCCAUCAUUAAGUUGGGCACUCUAGCGAGACUGCCGGUAAUAAACCGGAGGAAGGUGGGGAUGACGUCAAAUCAUCAUGCCCCUUAUGACCUGGGCUACACACGUGCCACAAUGGUCGGUACAACGAGUUGCGAGCCGGUGACGGCAAGCUAAUCUCUGAAAGCCGAUCUCAGUUCGGAUUGGAGGCUGCAACUCGCCUCCAUGAAGUCGGAAUCGCUAGUAAUCGCGGAUCAGCACGCCGCGGUGAAUACGUUCCCGGGCCUUGUACACACCGCCCGUCACACCACGAGAGUUUGUAACACCCGAAGUCGGUGAGGUAACCUUUUAGGGGCCANCCG